GUUCUUGCUUCGGCAGCACGUAUACUAAAAUUGGAACAAUACAGAGAUUAGCAUGGCCCCUGUGCAAGGAUGACAUGCAAAUUUGUGAAGCAUUCUCUCUGUGU
Molecule: small nuclear RNA, 104 nt
Filed under: Saimiri boliviensis boliviensis (Bolivian squirrel monkey)
Lineage: Eukaryota; Metazoa; Chordata; Mammalia; Primates; Cebidae
Source: RNAcentral